UUGACAGUAGUAAGGGGUAAUGUCCUGUAUUUACAAAAUAUGAACAGCACAGGCAAUAGGGAGUGCAGGGUGCCACAUACUGCUUUAUAAAUAUAUUUUAGCCCUGUUCCAAAGAAACCAUUUCUGACAGUCUGAGAAGGGAGUUUAUUCUCCAUGGCCCAUUCAAUCAUUUGCCUCA
This 178-nucleotide small RNA is filed under the name Crocodylus porosus (Australian saltwater crocodile). RNAcentral describes it as "TUC338 (ENSCPRG00005009871.1)". Lineage: Eukaryota; Metazoa; Chordata; Crocodylia; Crocodylidae. The record is from RNAcentral.